Long non-coding RNA from Taeniopygia guttata (zebra finch), 8777 nucleotides. NCBI's taxonomy places the organism in Eukaryota, Metazoa, Chordata, Aves, Passeriformes, Estrildidae. The record is from Ensembl.
ACCCUGAGCAAGUCCCUGUGUCACUUUAACAGUGGCCUAGGAGAUGCCUGGAAGAUAGUGGGUGCACUGUGACUCCUUCCUGGGAAGAUCUUGUUCCAGGGACAUGGGAUACCAGGAUGCCCUGAACAACAUCCAGUGACUGAUAUAUUUUACAGGAACUGCCUCGCAAUGGGUGUAAAACCUCAAUGCACAUUUCUCUGAAGGUCUUCUGUCCCUCCUGAAGACCUUCAUUUUGGUCAUCCUCAGUCUUUGAACUCCUGGCAUGUUAAAUUUUUGGACAUUAUGAAACACAUCAGGAGUGUCUGUUGAAAUGAAUGAAUGUUCCAGUGGGCAAUGCACACGUGAGAGAAAAUCCUUGAGCGCAGUGGCGGAACACUGCUCGGAGUAUCUGCCUGGAAUACCAAGCUCUGAGUUUGCACAGGCUCGAUGGCAGUUUCAGAGUAACAAAAGGAUAAAUGAUGCUGAUCUUUCUCCACACAAUGACACCUUUAAGAGAGAGUUACAGUCAAAACCACAUGCAUUCAGGUAAGGAUCCUGUGUAACUCCUGGCUAUAAAACUCUGAUAGAAUGAAUGCUCUGUGGAACACUGGUGUUAGGGUGAGUUCUGUAGUUGAAUACUUGGAGCGAUACUGUUCUUCAUUUCUAUGCUCUGUCUGAGAAUUCUUAACAUACAUGUCCUCCUAGCCCAGAUAAGCACAUAGAAGGAUUGUUACACUUUUGUACAGGUGGGAAGUCAUUGUCUCGAGCUACUUAGGAAGUCCUAAGAUUCAAGAGACUUCCCUGUCCCAUCCCAUGCUCUAAAUUACAGAACCAUCUUUCCUCCAUUUUUUGUAGCUGUCCAGAGUCAUCCACAAAAACAAUUUACUUGAUUUCUCAGUGAAAUGGUUUUCAUAGAUAUACAGAAAAGGACAUUUAAGAGUCUUUCUACAGUUACACCUAAUUACUCAGGCUCUUGACUAUGCAUUGCAGAAGUGCUCAGCUUUAAUUGCCUUACUUCUUGUUGUUUGAUUAAUUUGUAUUGUUGUAGCAUUGAUGUUUUCAUUGUUCUACUUAAAAUAAUUGAACAAUGAAACCUUAAAAUUCUUUGCAUGUGGUGCUUGUAAAUUUACACCUAAAACCCCCUGAAUAUAAUGUUUCCAAGCCACCUAAAGAGGAACCCACACAUGCCAGUGCAAACAUUAUACUAUUGUAGUGUUUAUCACAAUAAAAUACUGGGUUUUUUUCACUGAGCUAUGUGCUCCAAGCAAGAUGCAGGAGAGCCUGGGGCUGUAUGUGAUCAAAAGCUUCACACAAUCUGAAUGGGUCAAUGAGUUUUUCCAGGCAAUUUAGACAAUUUUCUGUGUGUAGACAAAAUACCUGGAUUUCUCCUUACUGUUUAUCAGGUAAACUUCACAAAGUAUUUCAGAAAUCCUUUCCCUUUCCCUUUCCCUUUCCCUUUCCCUUUCCCUUUCCCUUUCCCUUUCCCUUUCCCUUUCCCUUUCCCUUUCCCUUUCCCUUUCCCUUUCCCUUUCCCUUUCCCUUUCCCUUUCCCUUUCCCUUUCCCCCCUCAGAUUUAGAACUUUCUAAUGUUGCACUUUCCCAUGUUCCCGCAUUUCAGUAGUAUUUUUUUUUUCAAGUAUGUAAACUUGGCCAGAAUUUUUUUGAAGUACUUGGCAUUUUGGUCCAGAACUAUUAAAUAUAAUGAGGUUUGAAGUGCAGUUCUGAAGGCACACCAUGUUUGCAGGCCUGGUUUGUGCAGUGCAUCAGUUAUUUGUGCAUCUGAAGUGAAGCAGUACUGUGUGCAGAGGUUCUGUGGGACAUGAGGCUAUAUCAUACCAUAUCUUCCCAUCCUACUUGAAUAGUAGUUUUUUAGUUUUGAUGUUUAGGUUGCAAAGUUUCUGAGCCUGAGUUCAAGUCAGACUGUGCUGUGAUGCUACUGGAUUUAGUAACAUCAAUGCAACUGAAAAUAAACAAAUAGGGCUUCAUUUGCUGGUAGUAAGGAAAUCUGCUUAAUCUUAGAGUCAAUGCCUAUAUGGUUCAUAAGAGAAAAGGGGAAACAGUUAAAUUCUUUAUGGUAUGAAAACUGAAAGUGAAUUGCUAGAGGCAAAACUUCUUAAUUUUGUCACUAUUAUAUUGUAGAUAAAAUUAGAGGAAUAACUUAAAGUGUAGUAGUGAUGACUAAAAUUACUAAGUGGACUACUUUAAAAUUUUUAUUUAUAUUCCAAAUGCACACAGAGGAUAAGUGUUUACAGGCUAAUGUUCACUCAUUUGAUACGUCCAUUUAAUGAAAGAUGGCAACAUUCUGACAGUUGAAAUGUUUGUGAGGAAAGGGACAGGUUAAGGUUUGCUCUUGUGACUUUAAUACUGUCAUUCUUGCAUCUUGAACUAUUUCAUUUGGAAGCACUAUGUUCUUUGAAUGAGAUAAGAAUUUAGUAUGCUGUGCAUCUUUUCUUAAUACAUCUGCUGUCUAAAAAAGCAAGGUGGAAAAAAGCAACAAAUAAACCCAAGGAAAUUGUAUCAGCAGCACUUAGUUUUACAUCCCAUUUAGUACAAAGACAAAGCAAAUCAACCCAUAACAGCAAUAACCAAAAAGAAAAUGAACGGAUUUAGAGAAACGGCCUAUCUAAAGCACUAAGUGGGGUAUAAAUAAGAAUUUCACUAGUUUCAUAGGAAGAUCUUAGAAACAGACCUUUCCCAAUGUAAAAUUUAAGUUAUUAGGUAUAUUUUCUAUUAAUAGAUGGUAUCCAUAACUGAAAACACAAGUAUUGGAAAGCUGGACAAUGGUGACAGUGUAGAUCACUAUUCUGCAUUGUAAAUAAUACAUAAUAAGGUCAUAUUUCUUCAUUUUUGUCACCCUUCUCUCUGGUCAAACUCUUCCUUGAAAAUCCUCUGGAAAGGAAAAAAAACCAGUACUUUAUCUUGAGUCAUUUGGCUGAAUAAGUUUUAACAAAAAGCAAAAUAAUGAUAAAAAUGUAUUCUCAGCAGCAUCAGAAGGCUGUAACAGGGAAUUCAGUGCAUGCCAUACAGAACCUAAAGCAGUUUCCUUCUUUCCACCAACACUUGGAGCACCCCCAGCUGAAUGGAUCUUGCAGUGUGCAAGGUAUAAUGCAGGCAUUUCAGCCACAGCUUCUGGAAGGGGCUGCUCUGGGAAAUGAACUCACAUGUGAGCAGCCACGCUGGCAGAAGUGUGCUGGGAAGUGCCACCAUGAAUUUGUGGAAGGUUUUGAAGAUGACCUUUUCAACAGGCAAAUUUCUCCCAUUCUCAUGUCCCCUCAGUGCUGUGUUUUCAGCUCACUCGGGUUUGGUGUUCCCUCCUGCAGCUCUGCCACAGCCUUCUUGACUUUCAGAGCCAUUCAGUUCUGUGAAAGUGUCUUGCUAAAUUAUGCCAAGACAAAUACCAGCAGAACCAUAUCCAUGCUAGGAAAUUGCACCAGUGUAACUAUAAACUGAAAUAGUUAAAUCAGCACUGUGUGUAGACAUAAGUACUUUGCUGGAUUUUAGUCAAAACACUUUAAAAGUAAUGUUAAAUUUUGGUUUUGUGCCAGCCAUGGGCCAAACUGAACCACCUGUAUUCAUAUACUAUGCUUAGCCAUUAGUACACUUCAAGCACGUUCAAAAUUAAAGACAAGACAAAGUCCCACUGAAGUAAUUUAAAACUUAAGGAUAUGCAUCUGCUUAACUUCUUUCCUGACUCAGGAGCGACUUAAGCAUGUACUUAGACUUACACAGUAACAUUUUCUGCUGAAUAAGUACCUCUAUUUUUUGAAAUGGCAAUCAUGAAAUUCUAAUUUUGAAUGUAAUAGGAAAAUUCCUAGAUUCAUUCAGCCAAAGAUAAUUGCUGGUUGGAGAGCUUUACAUGCUCACAGUAAGAAAAGUACGUUUAUCCAAGGAAAAAAACACCUCUUUAAAUUAAAUCAACCUACAGUGUUAUAUUAUUUUUAUUAACAUGUAUGCUGUAAUGCUAAAAGUUGGUAUAUGUUUGACUCAACCCAAUAAUCACACAAUGUAAUAAUACUCAAACAAGAGCUUGAAUUAAUCUUCGUACGGCAAAGAUUAAUUAACCAGAAGGUUAUUUCACGCCAUUCUUCAGGGAAAACAUAUCAUUUGCUCUAAGGCUAUGGCUUCUUUGCCUUGCCAGAGUGCUUUAAAAUAGUUUUGAAAUUUAUUUUUUGAGGAUAAAAGCAAUAAAUUAUUCCCCAGGACAUGUUGGGUAGUACAAAUUCUGCCAGUAGAGCAGCUUCAAAAGUGUUGAACUGCACAGCUGACUCUUGCUGGGCCACAGGCCCUCCGAGGAUUCUCCAUUUCAGUCAAUUCCACUGGAGCAGAAUUUCAGAUUUGUACAUUCACGUGAGCUUCACUGGCCAAAGAGAUUACUGGUCCUUCCCAAAUGUGAGAGAUUUCCAUGCAGUGCCACACCCUCAGGAAUAUUCCUCCUUUGACUCAUUUUUGUGUUUGGAUGAUUCUGUUUGAGAUGAUAAUAAAGCCUGUAGAAUCUGGUUUAUGAUAUACAAUUAAAUACUUUUUGUUCUUUCCAUAUGAUGCACUGACAUAUUUUCUGUGCAAAAAGGGAAUCCAACAGUCUUCAGAAGUGAGGGUUUUACGAAAUCAGCUUCUUAUCAAAUCAUUAGACUUCAUGGUCCAAGCUCUUUGGAAGGCUCUUGGGAGUAAUAUUUGUGUGGUACCAAAAGAAUUCACACUACUGUGUUUUCACCUCUGUAGUCUGAAUGCCUCAAAAUUCACUUUUUAGGAGUGCUGGAAUUUGAUUCAUACUGCAGUAUGUGCUUACACAGAUCACUGUGAGAUUUUUCCCUUGCUAUGCAAAAGGCAAAACUACUUUUCAAUUCUUCCUUUCCCACAGCUCCAUUCUUCUCUGAAAACAUGAUAACAUAUUUAAGCACUGAACAACAUGGCAUUUUAACAUUAAUCCUUAAUGUUAUUGAAAUGUUUCAACCUGCGUAUUUUUCACUGUCUCAUACACCAUUCUAAUUUCUUUUACUCUGUUAAAUUCAGACGUAAUUUAGGAUGGAAAAAUACAUUUUAGAAUUACACCUGCAGCAUGUAGUAUUAGUAUGACUUUUUCAUGGCAUGACAGUGAUGUUUCUACAAUCUAUACAUAUUGAUUUAGGCUGAUAAUAAACAAUUUGAUUAGGCUCUAUCUAUAGGCUGUCAUUUCAAUCACUGUCACUGUUCCAAUAGAGUGGAAGGCAGAUAGCAGACACAUAUGGCAAGAUUUCUCAAAAUAAAAACUCUGGCCUGAUUAGAGCCCUAGGUUCAGUGAAUUGGACAAGACAGCUCAGCUGCCAGGUUAUUAACUCCCUCAGAAAAUACUCUGCCUUUUCCCCGGGGCCAGCCUGAAUAUUCUGAUCUGGAUCGAUAAGCAAUCUCCGGUGUGUACAAAAUGCCAGCUAGAAUCAUUUGUCUCAGUGCAGUCUCCUUACAAAGGAUAAAACACCUGCAGUAUGUGGCCUUCUCUCCCUCCUCCCCCACCUUCCCCCUUUUAACUAAUGACCCACAGAGAGGGAAGAAGUAACUGAAUCUGUUCCAUCAUCAGGAAGGCUCUCUCAGGUUUGUUUUAAUGAUCACAAUGGCUACCUUUCAAUCUUACAAAAAUUAUAUCAGUCAUGGUUUCCCUGUGGCAUGUUUAUGUAAGUAAUGUGAACCACAAUGUAAUGACAAGUGUACAGAUGUCAUUGUAAGAGGGCCCUUGGCAAGAAGAUAUCUCAGAAUGUCAGAAUUUUAAUAAACCGUGGACUGCUGGUAGGGUUCUCUUUGGUGGUUGUCUUUUAUAUUUGUAAUGUGUGCUGUGAUCUGUUGCUUGGGCCUGAGAUUUUUCAGGAGUGUUUAGUAACAAAGGAUAUUUCACAAUUUAUUAGAACAGAAUCAUUCUUUUCCAGAGUGGUGGUGUUUUCCCAAUCCAUUACAUAUAUGUGGUUUUGUUUGUAGCAGUGUUGGAUUGUAGCCAUAUGACUUGUACUUUCCUUAGAUGCCAAAAAGGAGUUUUUAUCUGAGUGAUUUCAGAACCAUUCAAAGCUUUUGGAUGUUUUUUCCACAUGUUGACCUAUUAAUAAGCCCCCCUUGACUCAAAUAAAAAUCAAAUACAUGCAAAGUAUGAGAAAACCCACAAACCUCCAAGUUUCUCUCCUCCUUGGUUAUUUAUUACACCUGGAGUCACAGGAUAGAAUCUCCUAUUGCACAAGAAGUUUGUGGCUUCGCAUGUCCCAUGCUGUCAAGAAAUACAAGCUGAAUAUCCUCAGCAAUAUGCAUAGAAUUUACUGAGCAAGUAACAGGUACUGAAUACCUGUUUCUAGGUAUGGAUUAAGAGCCUUUCAGGAACAGAGGCCAGUUUUGACUUAUUUUUCAAGGCUGUAGAACUAGCUCUUCAUCCAGCUAUUAAUGACAGUAUUGUUCUGACCUCAGUUUAGGUAACUGCUCACAUCUAUAUACCUAUAGAAGACUUACCUUAAAUUAAUGUAAGCUGAAGAUCCAUGCCUAGUUAAAAAAUUUAUAUUAUUUUAUGUAAUGUUUGCUUAUGACAAAUUAUAUAGAAGCAUUUUAUGUUUGUACUGCCAUCAUUUGAAAAAGGAAGGUUUGCAUUUACUCUGUCCUUCUUUACUGCAUGAGGUGUCUUGCCCUCAUAAUGUCAAUAAAUUAGAAUAUUGCCUUACAGAUAGCUCCCUUCAUAUUCACUAUCCAAAACUUCAGGAACUAAAGAUGCUUUUAAAAAAGAACAAUGUAAGGAACAACUUUUGUGAAUUGAUUUCCCAAUGUAGAAAGGACAUUUCCUAUCAAGAUACUUAUUAGAAUGUUUAUCUCAGAGAAAAUGCCCACAGUUUAUAUGAAAAGCUGAUGUUAUGUUAAUUCCCAUUAUUAUAUACAGAUGAUAUUGAGGAAGAUGGAACAAAGUGCCUUUAAACCAAAGCUGAUGACUUUUUUUUUUCUUGUUUGCUACAGUUUUAUUGUAGUGAAAUAUGUUCAUUUUAGCAGUGGAAAACUGCCCUAAAUAGACAGCAUAGAGCAAUAAGAUGUCACAUUGCAGAGCACAAUUUAAAAAUGAUGUGCUCCAGAAGUAAGGCUUUUAGACAUUUUGGGUUAUGUAUUAAAACUUCCCACAAAUUUGAUUGAGAAUGAGCCUUUGAUGGAUAUUUUCUGCAGUUAUGCUGCAUUAGACUCGAUUUAUCCACCACCUCUCAUUGUUGCUAUUGAUUGAUUUUUAAAUUAGAUGAAGGCAAUCAGUAAAUACCACCCAAUCAAGUCCUAAAAACAUACAGGAGAUUAGACAAUUUAGGGUAAUCAAUGAAAAUAUUCUGUGAUUUGCUACCACUCAAUUUUGACCAUAAAUUACAACCAUAACUUGCAAGUUAGUAAGCCAUAAAACACGUGGAUGUGACAAGAAAAACUACAAGAAAUGAAUUAAGGAGAUGAAGAGGAACCACUAGUGUUAUCAUUUAAUGAGACAAAAUUACUCUUUAUGCAUAUCUGGCAUUUCUAGUUGAGCCUCGCCAACAGUAUUGGAGUACAAGAGCACUAACACUCCUCUUAUUUUUCUAGGGUUUUGUUUUUGGGUUUUUUUGUUUUUUGUUUUUUUGGGGUUUUUUUUGUGAUAUAAAAAAUGUUCUUUUGUGUAACAAAUCAGUUUGAACAAUAAUCUACCUAAUAUUGUUGCAGCAAAUAAAUCAAUGUAAUUUUACCUUUAAAGCCUGCUGUUUGUUAAAACCUCUCACCUUCAUCUCAGGCACUUGCAAAGUCUAAUUUUAAAGUAACACUUCUACGUGGUGUUAUAUUCUACAAACUUUAAAAUUUAGCAAAAAUUUAAUGGUAUUUUAGACCAACACUUUGAACAAGCUGUGUUCAUACACUUUCUCUGCGAUAUAUGUCGCCCAUUUUCUAUAUGCUCACAACAGUCUCACUAGGAACUAAUUCGCAUAUCUUCAAAAAAAAUCUGCUUUUAAAGUUAUUUACUCGUUGUUAAUAGGUGUCCAUGUUUUUUCUAUUUAUGAACUUUAGUAUCUAUUUGUAAUUUCUAGGCAGUAUCUAGAAUUAACAGCUAUAGGCUAUAUUGGUAUGAAUUGGUGAAAUAAAUAAAAAAUUUAUUGUAAAUCUAUUCCCUUAAAAAAGUAGUACAGGUGUGAUAAUUCUGAGCAGCAUGAAAAAAAACUUCUGGUUAUUGAAGGGGCCUUUAUGAUCCUCUUUAGAAUAAGGAACAUUUGGAAAAGAAGACCAGAAUAAUUUUGGGGAUUGUUGGUCAUAGAAAAGGAUGAAAUUAAGAUACUUUUGACAAGAAGAAAAUUCAUGUGCCUUUUUCUACAUUAAACAGAAAUUUCAGAGAUCUGAAAACUGCCCAGGACACCUUGAGUGGUGAUAGAAUUGUAACAGAGGACAGCAGGAAAGAACACUCUCACUGCACUCACACCCACUAAAAUACAAAAGUGACUUUGUAGAGCUUCAUGGUAGAGCAACUCCUUUGAGAGCAGAUAAAUGCAAAAGGCACAGGUGGAAUAAAUACUGAAAAUAUUUAGAUUUAUAUCUACCAUGAUUUAAUUAUUCCCAAUAAAGAAAAAUUUCAUGUUGCAGCAGAGAAAGCAAAACCCCUAGAGUCAGAAGAAAGCACCAGUGGUGUUGCAAACAAAAGAUUAGUCAGCAAAUACUGACUCUGUAUCAGUAGGUGGAUGCUGUGUGAGAUAAUCCAGAAUUAGAAUUUUGCAAGAAUAUCAUGCAGAAAUUCCAAAUUCUUGCUGUAGUAGACAAAUGUAUGGCACCACUAACUACUAAAAAAAAAAAAAAAAAAAAAAAAAAAAAAA